RNAcentral lists this long non-coding RNA (586 nucleotides) under Rattus norvegicus (Norway rat). Its description in RNAcentral is "long non-coding RNA NONRATT016540". Lineage: Eukaryota; Metazoa; Chordata; Mammalia; Rodentia; Muridae. The record is from RNAcentral.
GAAUCUGGUCAUUGCAGUGGCCUUGCCCUCACGAUCCAGAUCUGAGCCACUAAGAACCUGCAGCAGAGGAAGACCAAGGCUCUCCUGGUGCAUUACUUUCUCAAAUCAACGUAAAAAGAGGGUUCUGGGGGGCUGGAGAGAUGGCUCAGUGAUUAAGAAUACUUUCUACUCUUCCAGAGGACCCAGGUUCAAUUCCCAUCACCCACAUGGCAACUUACAAACACCUGUAACUCCAGUUCCAGUCCUCUUUAGGCACUGCAUGUAUGUGGUAUAUAGACUUAUAAGCAGGCCAGGGGUUCUGUAAUACUAGUCCCUAUUUGGGGGGAGCCUCUGUGCAGCUUGCCUUAAAAGAUCACUUUCUGGGGCUAGAGAGAGUUCAAGGGAUAGGCAGAACACCUAGAAACAGGAGACAGGAGAACAUCAAGAAACUGGUGGGUCAGCCAGCCUGGCUUACCCAGCGGUGAACAAAGACCUUGCCUCAGACCGACCCCUGCUCCUCCUGGCCUGAAACUAGGCUGACCUCGAACUCACAGAAAUUCAGCUGUCUCUGUUUCCUGAGUGCUGGGAUUAAAGGUACAAACCACUA